UCCGGUUUGUCACCGGCAGUCUCCCUCGAGUGCUCUUGCGUAGCAACUAGGGACAAGGGUUGCGCUCGUUGCGGGACUUAACCCAACAUCUCACGACACGAGCUGACGACAGCCAUGCAGCACCUGUGCGACGGCUCCCUUGCGGGCACGCCCACCUCUCAGCAGGCUUCCGUCCAUGUCAAGGGUAGGUAAGGUUUUUCGCGUUGCAUCGAAUUAAUCCACAUCAUCCACCGCUUGUGCGGGUCCCCGUCAAUUCCUUUGAGUUUUAAUCUUGCGACCGUACUCCCCAGGCGGUCAACUUCACGCGUUAGCUUCGUUACUCAGAAAAUAAAUCCCGAACAACCAGUUGACAUCGUUUAGGGCGUGGACUAC
This 372-nucleotide unclassified non-coding RNA is filed under the name uncultured Gammaproteobacteria bacterium. RNAcentral describes it as "contains 16S-23S intergenic spacer region". The record is from RNAcentral. Lineage: Bacteria; Pseudomonadati; Pseudomonadota; Gammaproteobacteria.